RNAcentral lists this ribosomal RNA (484 nucleotides) under uncultured bacterium. RNAcentral's name for it is "partial 16S ribosomal RNA". It matches the Rfam family "Bacterial small subunit ribosomal RNA", at positions 30 to 507 of the family's 1533-position model. The record is from RNAcentral.
AUUGAACGCUGGCGGCAGGCCUAACACAUGCAAGUCGAGCGGAUGAAGGGAGCUUGCUCCUGGAUUCAGCGGCGGACGGGUGAGUAAUGCCUAGGAAUCUGCCUGGUAGUGGGGGAUAACGUCCGGAAACGGGCGCUAAUACCGCAUACGUCCUGAGGGAGAAAGUGGGGGAUCUUCGGACCUCACGCUAUCAGAUGAGCCUAGGUCGGAUUAGCUAGUUGGUGGGGUAAAGGCCUACCAAGGCGACGAUCCGUAACUGGUCUGAGAGGAUGAUCAGUCACACUGGAACUGAGACACGGUCCAGACUCCUACGGGAGGCAGCAGUGGGGAAUAUUGGACAAUGGGCGAAGGCCUGAUACAGCCAUGCCGCGUGUGUGAAGAAGGUCUUCGGAUUGUAAAGCACUUUAAGGUGGGAGGAAGGGCAGUAAGUUAAUACCUUGCUGUUUUGACGUUAACAACAGAAUAAGCACCGGCUAACUUCGUG